Molecule: long non-coding RNA, 16572 nt
Filed under: Homo sapiens (human)
Lineage: Eukaryota; Metazoa; Chordata; Mammalia; Primates; Hominidae
Description: long non-coding RNA NONHSAT183327.1
Source: RNAcentral
CUUCUGAAAAAAGCAACUAAUAGUCGUUAAGACUUUGGAGGCUGAAUUUUGGCUUUGCCUCUUAUUAGCUGUGCAACCUUGAGUAAAUCACUUACCCUCUCUAAGCUCAAUUUCUUGAGCUUAAAAACGGAGACAAUAUCACUUGCAUGUUAGGGUUGUUCUGUAUUAAUUGAAAUAACCUAUGCAAAUUGCUUAGGCCAGUGUUGGCCACAUAAUGAAGCACUUAAUUAGCAUAGCUAUUAUUAUUAUUUCUAGAAAUAGGAUUGCUGGCUUAAGUGUAUGUAAAAAUAUUGAUGCAUAUUGCCAAAGUUUAUUUUAAAUUUUGAAUAUAAAGUUGUGGGUCUCAUUAAUGAACAUAUUAUAGUAAGAGGUAAUAGGCAUGUCCACAAAUGCAAGAAGCUGCUCCUACUAUUCACUUGUUUGUUUUCUCUGUUCUGUCUUCUUCUUAUAACAGCACCUUGGUUUUCCUUUGGAGAAACACCUUGCUCCCAUUCUCAGUCCAUGUAGUUCAAUGGGGUUGAUCCCAUCCUCUGGCUUCAGAAGGGAGCAAAAGUAUAUGAGGUGGUCCUGGGUAAUAAAAAUAUCAUACCCGACUCCGCUCCUGGACACAGUGAUUGGCUCAGUAAUAGGCAUGUGACUUGAGCUGGGCCAAUGAGAACCCACUGUAGGAUGUUUACUGACUGAUUAGGAAACUGUCCUCAUCCUUUUACAUCCUUAGCAUCCUUAGGAGAUGCUAAUCUUGUUGACCAUCUUUGCUCCCAUACAGAAAAAUUCUUCUGGGGAAUAAAGCAUAGAGAAAUGAAGAGCUAAGAUACAGAGGAGCUUCCCAAGACCAUGUUUGAACAUUUGUAAACAGCCAUGCCUGGACUUCUGAGUUAAACGAGUCAGUAUAUUUCCUUUAUUGCUCAAAUCACUUUUUGUGUUGGGUCCUUUUUGAAAGGUGGCCAGAUCUGCCCAAUCAUAUUAUGCUCCUCAAGGACACACCCUGUGUGAGGAAUAAGCAGGGUUUCUACCAAGUCAACUGUCAGAGUGAUUUACCUUCCAUGAUAUUUCUGAAUGAUGGUAGACUCAAGUUAAUGUGAGUUAUGUGAUGCCUGUCUGUCAUUGGAUGAAGAUCUACACUGGACAGUUUCAGGUUUCUUUCUAAACCAUGACUGAAGCCAUAGAUUACCUGAUAACCAACCAUGGUUCUAUAAAUGUCUGUACGUGUCUAUAAAAGUCAAUGCAGAAAAUUAAAAAAGAAGUCUGGGUCGGGUGCGGUGGCUCAAGCCUGUAAUCCCAGCACUUUGGGAGGCCGAGGUGGGUGGAUCAUGAGGUCAGGAGAUCCAGACCAUCCUGGCUAACACGGCAAAACCACAUCUGUACUAAAAAAAAUACAAAAAAAUUAGCCGGGCAUGGUGGCGGGCGCCUGUAGUCCCAGCUACUCGGGAGGCUGAGGCAGAAGAAUGGCGUGAACCCAGGAGGUGGAGCUUGCAGUGAGCCGAGAUCGCGCCACUGCACUCCAUCCUGGGUGACAGAGGGAGACUCUGUCAAAGAAAGAAAGAAAGAAAGAAAAAAUCCGAAUGGGCUGUUAAAAUGAAAAUCUGCACACUGCAUCUAUUGGUACUAAUUUCAAAGACUUCUUUCCUGUAGGUUUGCAUUGCAAAACAUAAACAUUGCUUAUAUUUGAUUUUUUCAUUUGUCCAUAGUGAUUAUACAAAGGCUGAUACAGAGCACCCAUGUGGAGGGGUCACAGAAGGUAAAGCCAAAACAUAACAUGAAAACCAAAUAUGGCAGGGCUUUGAGCACCAGUACAAGGCAUUUGCAUGUGAUUCUUUGCAAAAUGGAGAGUUGUUAAAAGUUUUGAAUAAGGACGCUUCUAGAGGAUUAAUAGGGCAAUAAUAUGCAGAUGAGCAUAAAAGGGAAGAGACAGAUGCCUGUUAUUGGGCCAUUGCAAUAUUUCAGAAUGAGAUAAAGAAGUAGGGCAAUGGGAGUGAAAAGAAAAUGAUGGAUGGGAGAGACAUGGAGAAGGAGGAAUAAAUAAGAAGACUUGGCCUCCACAAGAAUAUGGGGCACCAACGGAGAGAGAAAAGUGAAAGAUGAGCAUACAGUGAUGUUUUAAAAAGUGAGUUUGGGAAACUGCUUUUGUUCAGUGGAGGAGCUUGCGGAGAAGAUAAUGAGUUUAGUUUUAUACGUAUUUGAGCCCUUUUCUGUUUGGCUGUCAGCUCUCCUAGAAGCUGAAUGUGGUAUGUAGAGUGGGAUGUAACCAUGAGGUUACCCUGGAACUCAGAAACUGCUAUAGCUAUAAAGAGAAGUAUGAAAAGUAACUUAAAGAACAACGACCUUUAUCCAUAGCCUGGCAUUGUCUUAACAUAUGUAAAGAAAAAAUGGCUUCUUUAGGAAUUGUUUGGUAGUGAAAUAAAGAAAAUGGUGAGUCAUGGAGACAAAAUUUGGCAGUUCAACAAGAGCACCAUUUAGUGGCAUGCUGCUUAGGUCUGGUGUGAUUGCCAGAUGUGGCCCAGUGUGUUGAUGGAUGGAUGCACCAGUCUAUUUUAACCUUAUGCCACUUCAUCAUUUGUUCUAAUUUUAUCCUAACCAAAUCUACCUUCUAAUUAUACUUUGGUUCCUCAUCUAGUUUCUAGGGCAGAAGAAAAAUUCCUUGUGAGUAGCAGAUCCCUUUACAUUGUUUGUUAUUAAAUUGUCACUUCUGAGUUUCCACAGUGUUGAGUCAUCACCCUCACCAUUUAUCCAACCCUGGGGUGCAGGCAAGACUGAAUUUCCCUCUUUAUAAGACUGUAGUCCAGUCUCUGCCUGGGGGUGACCUACCAGGUCAAGGGCUCCCUGCUAAGCCCGCAUGGUAGAUAGGUGACUGACCUUCCUCCUGAUAUGUUCUGGCUUUUCCAUGACCACUUCUGCUCUCUAACGCCAAACAUACCAGGCAACCACGCAUUCAACAACAAGGCCUCUAAUUUGCUAGGAGGGUUGUCACAGACUGCAAGGAUUAACAGCUAGAACAUUUUUCCACUUGGGGAACUUGAAGGCACCACACAAAUCCUAUUUACUUCAUUCACUCAUUUGUGUGUGUGUGUGUGUGUGUGUGUGUGUGUGUAAAAUCAUAAAGUUAUUCUUAAUCGCUAUAGGAAAAAAAAGAGAAACCAAACAAACAAACAAAAACUGUUAAUGUCCCUAUGCAGAGGCAAUAUGCACUUUGCCUGCAUAGUUUGCACUUUUGCCUAUUUCUUCCUAGGCAAUUUCAUUUCUACUUUAAAUUUAUAUGAAAUUUUAAAAGCUUUAUUAUCUGGUUCUCAAUACCACUGUAGAUUAGAAGUAGCAAUUUAGAGAAAGAGAAGAAAAAGAAAAGUCAUAAAAAGUAGAUAUAAUUUUUUAAAGUGAAGAGUGCUCUGGGGUCACACACAGCUCAGUAAUCCUGAGGUCAGUCACUGCAUUGUGACUGAUGUAAUAAUACAUUUAUAUCUUGAUGACCUCAAAUUGUCAUUAAAUGGUUAAAUUAAUUUUGGUAUAUAUCUUUUAAAAGUCAGAAAUACAAAAAAAUACACUUUUCAACUAUAUUGUUCAAACUGGUUAAAAAACAUAAGAAGUGAACCCUUAGCUGUCUAGAAAACCUAGCUACAGAGAAUUAUUCCUUUUCACUGGGUUACAAAUAAACAAGAUCCUAUAGUUAAAACUACUGGUUUCUUCCCAGUAUCCAUUCCACCAUUCUUCUGCUAUUUAGAAGCCAUGCUCUUGGUGGGACUGACCACACCUCUGGCUCCAGACAUAGGCUGUACUUGGCCUAAGCUACUCAUGAUAAUCACAUCUGCCUGCCAGAGUAACUAGUCCAGGAAUGAGCCUGUAGCCAUGCCGUACACCAACAGCUCAUAGCAUUUCUCUGAUCACAGGGAUCAUACAUCUGCAAAUUGGGGUAGACACUGGCCCCAAUUUAUCAGUCAGAAUAAAACCCUUAGCUUCUGUUCGGUGGCUGUGGAAGAGAGGCUCUCUUCCAUCAUCUGAGAUGCACAUUUGAGUCCUGGAACUACAGCAACAAUUAUCUUACCAUGAAAAAGCCUGCCUGAGAAUUAAAGCAACCCAUGGAAGACAGCAGAGCUGAGGGAGAUAGAAAAGAAGCCAGAAUCCUGAAAUCUACUCUAUAUCUGGGCUUGAGUCAAUAAUUGUCAUCUGUGUUUAGGCUGUUUUGACUUGCAAGAAAGCACAAAUGUUGUACUGUGCUUUGAUGGAGGUGAUGGUAGGCCAUCAGCAAGUACAUGUCCGGCACUUGUGUUACGGACAUGCAUCUAAAGUUCAGGACACCAACUGAGGAUGGGCUUGAGUAACAUGGAGGGAGAUGGUAGCAUGCCACACAGGAGCUGCUCAAUAUGUAAAUAUUAAUUGAGUGUGUUUUGAGUAAUCAGAAUGGGUUGGGACUUGCUGGGGGAAAAGAUAAGAUGGAGACUAGAGAUCUGAAGACUGAAAAGUCACUUAGGAUCGGGAGAAGUGGGAACUAGUGAAGGAGGCUCUGGAGUAGAUAGGAAGUGAGCUCUAAUAUUGCCACAUUGUUGUGCCUAAUGAGAGAAGAGAACUGGUGAACUACAAUGUCAAAUCCUUUAGAGACACCAAGAGAAUCAAUAGACAAGCUUGGUAAUUUGGAGGCUAUUGCUGACUGGGUGGAAUGCAUAAAAACCAACAGUAAGUGACUUUGAAUGUUGUUAGGUUUAUGAUAAAUAUGGUAUAAACAAAGUUUCCCAGAGACACUGGCCCAACAAAAUAUAGUCACAAUGACAGACACAAAAUGGAUUUUUUUUUUCUGGUCCUGCUUCUAUUUGCUCUGUAGAUAAAUCCAGAGGAUUAAAAAUUCUUCACACCUUUCUGGGGGACUCCAGAGUUUUUUUGUAUUCAUGACAAACCACUGAUUCCAAGUGGUAUCUGCCGUUUUCCUCCUCUCCUCAGCUGGCUCUCUGUGGGGACAGGUGAUGCUUACAAAGGUACACAGUAAAGCAGAGAGGUGACUCCUGGGAGGCUAGCCAGUCAACAGCUGUAGCCAGUCAAUGUCCGUAGCUUAUGGCAUUCAUCCUGGAAGUAUGACACCACCAUCAGGAUGUAGCUAGUCCCCAGCUCUGGAGCUCAGAAGUCUCCUUUCAUCAGCAUACCAAGACAGGGCUAUCCCUUUGGUGGGGCCUGGAUUAACCUAGCUCUCAGAGACUUGUCUCCUAUGGAUCCAUUUGUUAAAUUUUAGAGAGCAAUACAACCGUCAAGAGAUGAGAAUGCCUGGACUGGCAGAGGUUUGGUAAGCAAGGAAUCCAAACAUUAGGACUGAUUUGAUUCAAGAAGUGUCUCCUUGCUAAAACAGAUUGAGGUACUCUAGGGAUGGUGUUGCCUAGAAAUUCAAAAUGUUAGUGCUUAAGCAAAAUUUUUUUUUCUGUAGGCAACAGUUGCAUAAUUAUUUGCCAACAUUUUCUUCCUCUGGGACCCUGUUUUUUUCCCCUGCUUCUGUGGCUGAUCAUCUUCUAUUCAUGUGUUUUUUCUUCCAAAUUCAGGUCUGAUAUGCUUGAUUAGGAUUCUGCUUACGACCAAAUGCCCAUUCUGCCUCCUUGAGAUUUCUCUCAGUAACCUUGACUGGAAUUUUAAGUGUUCACAAACAUUCCCUUUAUACAUUUUUAAAGGCCAUGUUUGGUGUGUAUUCCCAUAGUUGAAAAGGUAUAUCCAGUGAUGUGGAUAUUUUCUAGUUCAAUCAUUCAUUCUAUAAACAUUCCUACUAUGUGUCAGGUACUGUGUUAGAUGCUGGAUAAUAAUUUAAGAUAGACACAAUCCUGUUCUUCUCAGCUUCUAAGAAUGAGUACUGAGAGAGAUUUCCCUCUAGUCCCUGGAUAUUGUGAUAGUUCCUGUUGCUGCUGGAGUCCCAAAUGGCAACGCCUCUGGGAGUACCCAUUGAUGUCUGUCAGUGUUGGUUGGUUCUCUUGUUGGUAAUUCCAUGGACCUAUGUCCCUGGCAGCCAGAGGGUGCUAGUGGGCAGCUGGGUCUGUCCCUAAGCCUGGGCUGAGGGCAGCCAGGGCUAUGAAAGCAUGCAUAAUGCAUACUGAGGGCACCAUCUUCUGAUGCUGCUGAGGCUGAUGUCUUCAGUGCUAACCACUCUGCUCCUCCAAACUUCUGGCUGUUCUAGCAUUUCUCAUUCUUACUGUAGCCCCUUUGUCUAGGACUCACUGUCCCCUAAUCCUACAACCAAAACGUACAUAUUGACUUUUUCUUCCCUUAGGAUGAGUUUUUUUUUUUUUGUCCUCUGGAAAGUAAUUAUUUUUCCUGCUGCAAAUAGAAUGUUGGCUUGCCUGCUUCACCAUUCCUUUACAUAUAUGGAGAUAUCCUAAACCCCUCAGUAAACACACCUCAGGGUCAAGUCAAUGCACCUGUAACAGAUUAAUUUAAUUCUAUUAAAUAUAUAUAUAUAUAUAUAUAUAUAUAUAUAUAUAUAUAUAUAUAUACACACACAUACAUACAUACAGAAAAUUAAUCCAGGGCCUAGCAAAGGACCUUGCAUAAUAAAAGGAAGGACAAGAGGGAGGUAAUGAAAAGGUGGAGGGAAAUAAGGAGGAGGAACAGAAUAAAGAAGGAAUUACUAGUGCACAAUUCAAAAUGUCUAGUAGUACAUAAUAAAUGCUUAAUAAUGAAAGAGGAGGAAUGGAUGAUAGUAAUGAUUUACAGUUUUCUAGAGAUUCUGAUACUUUUUAAGAGAAUAUAUGUUAUGUAAACAUGACAUCCAUUUUAGGAUGAAUGAAGAGAAACAAGGUUAUUAAUUGCCAAGAGACAAAAUGUAGCUGGAAUAUGUAACAAAAUAUUUAAAGCGAAAUCCUCAAAUACAUUUACAAAUUACUUUAUAUUUACAGGGAUAAAAAUGUCAUUUCUUCUGAAAUUUUAGAUGGCAAGUUUGAGCCAAAUUCAUAUUAGCCAUUUCCGGAAUCCAUGUGAGAGAAUAAUAGUACAGAAAUUGCUUAUCCAGAGUGUAAGGAGGCUGCAGCAUCAGCUGGAAAGUGAGUCUGUGACAGGCUUUUCACCUCAUUGAGAGGCAGAGCCACAUGCUGUGAGAUGCUGAGGCCCCUGCUGUGAAAUGGUGUACUGCACAUUUGCUGGGUUUGUUGUAUUGCUACGCUCUUUGCAUUUUGUGGUUCAGGCAAUAAGCAGCAGAAUAUGCGAAAUGAGGACAAGUAUAUUAAAGAUAUCUUGUAGCUUUUGGUUGCACAUAUUUAAACUGCUAGAAACAGUAGCUCCGGGUUCAUACUUUCUGUCCUUUAUAUGUGUUUAAUCAGUUAGAAAGCCUAUCUCUGCUUUGUAAAGCAAUAACUAGGAGGCUGAUCUUUAUGUUCAGAAAAAAAGGGACAUGUCAGAAACACUGUUAUCAGGAAUCUUAUGCAUAUGGAAUGGUGUGUAGUAGGUAGAAAGAGACAGAUCCAGAAAAGCUAUUUCUUCCUGAACGGAAAUGCUUACUAUAAGAUUAAUUGCAUGACCCUAAGCAGAGACCCUCUCAUCCAGCUAUAGGCAAAAGAGUUUCCAGAGAAAGUGACAUGUGUGAACUGCUUGUAUGAGCUCUAUCUCUGAAAGGAAGGGGCUUGGAUAUUUCCUACUAUAUCCUUCCCCUGCUUCAAGACUUUAAUCCAGAUGAAGUGACAUGAGAGUGACUCUGUCUGGUAGGAGACAGAAAUGAUUCUAUGACAAUAAUACAAAAUAUUAUAUUAGCCUUGUUUCCUCAUUCAGUGGUAAGUAGUAAAAAUUCAGCUUGCACUGUCUUAAACAAAGAAAAUAAAAUAUUGACUCCAGGGUAUAUGAUCAGGCAAAGCUGGAUCCUUCUACGCAGAGAUUGCUAUCAAGAACCUAACUUACUCCAUUAACUUGACUUGUUUUUUGCUUGGUGUUGGCUUUGUUUUUAGGGUCUUUCUGAACAGCUGAACACUUAUAAUCCACCCUCUUAGCAACACCAGCUGAAGUAUCUUUCUUUUCUACUACACAUCCAGAAACAGUUCUUAAGUUGAUGCUCAUUGGUCCAGAUUGGGACGUGUAUCCAUUCCCGAACCCAGCACCAUCACUCUGAUUAACAGAACCUGGGUCAUAUACCUUCUCUUUCCCCUCAAUCAGAUUAGUCUCAAACCCACCCACACCACUGGUCUGACAGUGAGAGAGGGAUGGCUCUAUGAACUCCGUGGGAAAAAAACAAAAGCACAAACAAAAUAAACCCAAAAACAAAAGAGAGAAAACUUAAGCAAGUGGAAGGACAUUCUAUAUUCUUGGAUAGAAUGGCUUAACCUCACAGAAAUGUCAAUUCUCAAGUUAAUAUAUAAAUUUAAGGCUUUCCCCCACUACCCUGCCAAACUGCCACUGAAUUUUUCCCCUGGAGCUAGACAAGUGGAAUCUAAAGGUAAUUUGGAAAAUAAACAAAAGAAGAACAACUAGGUAAAUGCUGGAAUAAAGAGUAAUGAAACAAACCAUGCUUUAUUGUCUCAUUAGUGUUUCUAAUAUUACUUGUUACAAACAAUAGAGCAUUCUUUACAUGUAUUCAUGUUCAUGUGUGCAAGCUUUUUCUCUGAGGUAUCUCUUUAGAAUGGGAAUUAGUAGAUUUAGGAUAUGUUCAUUUACUAAAUAGUUCUUUUUUAAUUUUAAAGGUUUAAAAACUUAAAUAUAAUGUGACUUAUGCAUAUUUCUGUGUAAAUAUUUUCCCAGUACAGUUUACAUAGUUAUUAAAAGUUCUGGGAAUGAUAGAACUCACCCCACAGAAUGAGAGUUAAUUGAGAGUUGAGUUUACUGAACGAUUAAUAUAAUUACACUACAGAAAAUCUAAAAGUAGCACACAUUGUGAUGUAAUUAACUGAACUUCUAGUAUCUUUUCAGUGGGCAAGUCUUGUAACUCUUGGUUAGCCUUUUUCUUUUUCUUUGAUCAUUUUGGUUCUCUGUGGCCCAUGAUUUCCAUUCUGGUCCUCCUCCCAUCUUUCUUGAAUUGAUCAGUCCCUUAUAUCAAACAUUUAAUUACUGGAAAAGAAUUCUCAGACUCUUUGAGUUUUUUUAAAAUCCACACAUGAAUGAGUUUUCUGUUUCAAACAUGUAACACAGUGCUUGGCUAAUAAAAGACCUUCUGUUCAACUAAAGUGUUCAUCAAUUAUAGUUUAUAGCUCCAACCACCCCUGACCUUAUUUGCAUAGCACCAUGCAAAGUUCCAUACUGGAACUUCCAAUGAUGUUUGAAAAUAAUAUUGCCAAAUGGUUCCAAUAAAAAUACUAGGAUCACUUGAGAAAAAAGUAUUAACCACAAACCAAAAAUACACAUGCCAUGGGGAGCAGUUUGUUGAUGACAAUCUAUUUUACAUCUUAUGCUUUACAUUGGAUCAUUUCUAACCAAAUGUUCAUUUUUUCAAGAAAAUACUAUGUUUUCAAACAAGUGAAUUAUAUAUCCCAAAAAAGAAAGAUUUUUGGGGUCAACAUGUACUGUGCUGUAUUAAUUGGUCCAUAUAUUUACCAUGAAGAGUACUGAUUUUGUCAAGAAACUUCUCUGAAGUUCAUUUCAGAGUAUUUUUCUGAGAAUUUUGCAAACCAGGGUAGCAUUUUAUAGCUGAAUUUUAAUUUUCACAUUAUAUGUGUAUUACCUAUUAUUGUGUAAUCAAUUGCCCCAGCAUUUUUGUGUCUGUAAAUAACAAUAAGCACUUAUGGUCUGACAUAGCAUUUAUUAUUUUUGUGGAUCAGGUAUGUGGCCUGGCUGGGUGGUUCUGGCACAGUGUUUCUCCUGAGGUUGAGUCAGUUGUUCAUUAGGGCAGCAGCCAUGUGAAGGUUUAACUGGGGCUGGAUGAUCCACUUGCAGAGUGGCUCGCUUACAUAGCUGGCAUGUGGCUCCUUGCCAUAUGGGCCUUUCCAUAAAACAGCUUGAGUAAUGGUCUCAUGCAGGAGCAUGAUUCCCUAUGGCAAGCGUAACAGAAUUUCCACGUGGAAUUGUUCAAAUAUCACCUCCUGUUUUGAGACUCUGAUAGACUACUUCAUUGUACUGAUAGGUAUGACAUGGGAAAAAAUUAGAACUAAUAAUGUAUGUAAUGAAAGGAAUUACUUGUAUGUCAUGAUUUUCUGAAAUCAAAGUCACUGGCAUUAUGUUGGCCAAUUUUUGGAUUUUAUCUCAAAGCCAUAUUUAUGACAAUCCAGUGAAGUGAGUUUUAUUUUCUCCAAUUUGCAGAUCAGAAAACUGAGAAAAUGUCUGCUCAGGUAAUUGUUCCAUGAAGCUUAAAUUUGAAUUUAGGCUGUUGACUCUGAAGCUUUCACUCCUAAAAUUAUAUCAGACUAUACUGUCUCAUCUAUAGCUUUUAUUUACAAAACAGAAAGCUCCAUUUUAUUAGGAGAAUUUUGAAUAUACAAUAACAAGUAGACAGAGUAAUUUUAUGAAUCAAUAUGUACUCAACACCCAGCUGCACUAUCAAUACUUAGCCAUUAAUAUCUCUUCUAUGUUUUUCUCUCCUUAUUUAUUUUGAAGGAAAUCUCAGACAUCAUUUAAUUUUAUCUAUAAGUAAGUACUUCAGCAUGAGUAUCAAAAAAGAUAAGUGCUUUUAAAAACAUCGAUGAUAUCAGGCCAAAAAAAUUAACACAAAUCUUUUAUCAUCAUCAGAUAUUCAGUCAAUGUUCAAAUUUCCAAUGUUCCAUAAAUGUUUUUCUUUGAAAUUUUAAAAUUUGAAUCAUGAUUCAAAUAAUGUCCACACAAUGUAAUUGAUUGGUAUAUAUUUUAAUUUUAUUUUAAUCUAUAUGUUUCCCUCUGUUUUUGAUAAUCAAUAAACAUGUAUUUUCAGAAUUUGCUUAUUAUGAAGAAAGCUGCAAUAGAUCUUGUAAUUGUUUUUCUGGGAACUGAUGCUUCAUGUCUUCAUACAUUUUUUAUUGCAGUGGUUUUUAAAUACUGAUUUAUGAGUUCUUUAAAUGUUAAAGAAAUUACCUCAUUUUCUGAUGUGUGUGUUACAAAUAUCUUUCUCCAAUUUGUUGUUUGUCUUUUAACUUUUUUGUGGUAUUUCUUCUUCUACAAAAGUUUAAAAUUUGUAUGUGGUCAAAAUUUCAGUAUUUUCUAUUAUAAUUUUGGGUUUAACAUCUUGGAAAGGCCCUCUCCAUGCCAUACUUUGAUAUGAUUCUAGCAGUCUUUAAUAGAUUCCCCUCACCCCCACACAAACUUGGUAUGAGAAAAUUUUCUAGGCUUAUCUUAUGUAUUUCUGCCCUAGACUUGGACUCAGAUAUUCUUCAAGGAUGCUACUGCAAACUCAGAGGGGUUCAGUGAGAUAUUUAAAUUUUUGAGCAAUACUCAAUAUCUAUUGACAGGCAAUGAACUACUGGCACAAGGUAGUUCCCAUUUCAACAUUAGGUGGCACUUUAAUAUUUUCAGUGAUGGCAUGUAUUUGCAGCAUUAGGUGUUUGUGGUUACUGGGAUAAAAGCCAAGUGCCUCCGGAAAUCACUGUAGAACAGAAAAGGUGGUGUGUCCAAUUUGAUUCUAAGGUUUGAGAAGCUGUGCAGUUCCCAACAGGUGCAUAUAUCCUAUUGGUAAGCGUGUGUCAUUGUUAAAGAAGAAAAUAAGUUUUUUUUUCCAAUUUAUGUGCAUUAUUUUUUAAAUGGCUACUCAGUUGUUAGGAAGUGGGUAUUUAACAAGUUAUUUGAACUUAACUCCUUAAUAAAUGAAACUGUUGAGUAUUUUAAAACUUUUUGUCUAGGGGCGCUGUGAAAAAACACCAAGACACCAAGACAAACCGAGACACCAAGAACGUUAUAAACUAUGAAAGUCUGGGAGCCUCUGGAUAAGACUCUGCUUGUUUUUGUCUGCAUGCAGCUGAGUCAGAGCUCUCUUCCAAGUGUCACCACUGCCAUUUUCUAAUUUACUCCUGCUUGCCUUAUUAGCGUCAUCUUUGAUCCAGGUUUGCUUUGUGGCAACUCCUUUAACUCACUUGCCCAACAUUUGAGGGUUCAUUUAGCUAAAACGACAAGAUGAUACAGUGGAACGUGGUUGGAGUGCUAGUCAGGUAAAACCUUAGGUUUUAUCCAUUCGUUUGAGACUCGAGCUCGCUUUCUGUGAUGGUUGACAUAUGGUGCUGCAUUAAUUUCCAGGGGCCGAUUUCCUUACUGAAUAGCCACGUCAGCAAAUUUCAGACCAACCUGGCUGCUCUAUCAGGCACAGAUUAAUGACAAUAUAAUACAAUAUGCCGGAGGCAAACGAACAACCCGGGCACCACUGCCGACCUCUUGAUUCUCCCACCUUCCCUCAAGACACUAGGAAUUUAAUGUGCUUAUGGCUACUGGACAGACAGAACGAGGCAGGGUGCUGGGGCGAAUUGGUACACGAAAUACUAGUGAAGUUUAUCUACUUUAUUAUUUUUCUUUAGAUAGAAUAGAAUUAGAAAUAAUAAUGUGGCUGGGUGCGGUGGCUCACGCCUGUAAUCCCAGCACUUUGGGAGGCCGAGGCGGGUGGAUCACGAGGUCGGGAGUUUGAGACCAGCCGAGAUCAAGCCACUGCACUCCAGCCUGGGCAGCAGAGUGAGACUCUUGUCUCGAAAAUAAAAUAAAAUAAAAUAAAUAAUAGAAUUAGAAACAAUCAAAAUAUAGUUUUUAUCGUAUUUUUUUUAGAACGCCUGCACUGUGUGCCCCCUCUUUGGAGACCACUACUCCAGGGCACUUAGUUCCUGAAAGGUCACGUUUUUGUUGCUACAGCUUUUCCUGAGAUAAACCAAUGAAGCCAUUUAUUGGCUGUCACGCCCUUCAGCAAGUAAGCCAUGGCCAGGUUUGCCUCAUCUCCUGACUCCAAGUGUGAUACAAGAAGCUCUACCUGGCUGCUUUGUUUAGAGACAAGUUAGGUCUGCUAGGCCUGCGUUUACGAGUUUUUAUAAAACUUCCAGCAGCAUAUUCUGUGUGGCAGAACACAUUCUGGAGCUAUUAGGGUGGGUUUGUUGACCUGGGUUUGCUCCAACUUCCUACACUCUGCUCCUUCCCCCUCCACUCCCUCACCCAGCCAAAGCCCUUCAAGAUAUUCAUUUGCCCUGGGCAUGGCCACACACAGAAGAGUAAGGAAAGAAGAAAAAGUUAUUUACUUUUCUAAAUACAUUGAAAAAUCUAUGGUAGAACUACAUCUUGAAAGCCAGGUGCUUUUGGUUUGCAAGAGCUUUUUGAGAGAAAAAAAGAUUUUUUUUUUUUGAAUUCCAUAAUCUUCACUUUAAGCAUCAAGCAUCAAAGGAAAUCUUCGGUAAAGCUGAUCCAUUAAUCACAAAUGUGAGAUAAUAUUACCACCCACCCCUACCUCCCCCAGGCAGAGAUAUAAAAUCCCUUUCUGCAUGGAAGAUGAGGAAAAGAAACUUCCAGAAUUCAUUAUGUACCAACUCUCCAUGGUUCAAGACAGCAAGGGUGAUCACAAUCCUACAUAAAGAUCCUAUAGAAGAUCCCACAGAAAAAAUUUGCAUGUGACUCCUUUUCAAGUGCAGCCCAAGGAGACUGUCAGCUUCUCUGUGAAUCCACUGGCUGGCUAAGGGCUGCUGUGGUGGCUCGGCAGUGAGUCCUUUGCAAGCAAAUGGGCUUGCAGGCAGCUUCCUGCGUUUAGGCAGCAGAGAAUUCCUGGUCUCUGAGAUGGUGUUGGGAGUUGGGGCAGAGAGUGAGAAAAUCCAAAAGGACAACACAACAGGGAUGAGGAGGCUGCAAAGUGUACAGACUAUUCAACUGGAAAUCAUAAUGAGUGCACAGGUAUUUCUUGUUAUUUAUUUCCUCUUGCCUUAUGACUAUCACGUCUGACAACUAUGGACCAGGUACCCUUUCCCCUGUUGCCAUGACUCUACAUAUGUCCAAGUAGAACAAAAAUGCAGCCCCCAGGGAAGAGGGAGGAAGGCCCAGGACCUUGAAAUGACUGAAUUGAGAUCCUGAAAUGACCAAGAGGGAAUAAACUUAUUCAACGUGCAUUUUUGAGUUUCUACAAAGGGCAGGCAUUGUUCUAGGAACUGAGGAUACAGAAAUGAACACAAGAGGAAAAAUUUUGCUUUUAGCAGCUUACAUUUUCAAGGGGAAUCCUAGACAAUAAAAAGACAAAUGAGCAAAAUAUACAGCAUGUUUGAUGGUUUGCUGUGCAAAAGAUUAAAUCAAGGAAAUAAAAUAAGUUGACUAGUAGAAUGGGGUCACAUCAAAGCAAUACAGGUGCCAACCUGAAAGAUCUGGAACAAUUUGAGUAAUAAAAUAGAUAACAUAGUAUUGGAUUUUAACCCUGUAUAGGAUAAAACUCUCUCAAACCAUGUUUUUCCUCUGCUGGCAUAACACCACAGCAAUCAACACAGAAGUCUUCUAUGACCAAAUUUGGGGGGGAAUUUUCCCCACAUGCCAAGCAGCAGAUGCCAGCUGGGUGUCCUCCAAUUCAGUUCUGACACUAUCUCCAUCUAUCUGGAGACAGUAUCCUAUCUCACAGGUUGAAGGCUCAGUCCCUAAGACUGUUCCCCACCCCCUACUGCAAACACCAGUUACAAGUCCAGGCCUCUGGAACUUCUGACCAGCUGGUUUCAAGUUGGGGUUCCCAUGACUCCUGUUUGGGUUUGAUUAAUUUGCUGGAGUGGCUCAGAGAACUCAGGGAAACACUUACUUAUGUUUUCUGCUUUAUUAAGAAGGAUAUUUUAAAGGAUACGAAUAAAUAGUCAGAUGAAGAGAUACAUAGGGUAAGGUCAAAGGGGUCCCAAGUGCAGGAGCUUCUGUCCCUGUGGAGUUGGGGUACACCACCCUCCCAGCUCAUGGACGAGUUAUUCUUCAUCUUCCUGUGAGCCUUUAUGUGUUCAGCUCUCUGGAGGCUCCCCGAAACCUGUCUUUUCAUGGACAACCUUGUUGAAACAUGGCUGGCCAAAAAGUGCAUUUUCUAAACACAAUGAGGCUUGUCUGUUCGGAUUCCUUGUGGUCUGUCUGUGAGACUUUCCUUCCUUGAGAGUACAAAGCAGGGACCCUGUCUGGAAUGAGGGUCUUAUGACCCACAAUCAGAUUAGAGUUCUACCUUGGGCAGGUGAAAGUAGGGCAGAAGAAGGUCAGAGAGAAAGAUUUUGUCUCCUGAGGCCUGCUUCUGAGGCCUAAAGUGCCCCAACAUUAUAACAAAGGACUGUAACAAAGGUUAUGGGAGUUAUGAACUAGGAACCGUGGAGGAAAAUCUGGGUGUGUGUGUGUGUGUGUGUGUGUGUGUGUGUGUGUGUGUAUGUGUGUGUAUAAUCAUAAUAUCAAAAACCCAAAGUAUAAAAUAAACAUAUGUGGUAUAUACUGAUAGAAAUAAAUAGUGAUGAAUAAAUAAAUAAAUAGAGACAAAUCUUACCUACAAAAGACUUCCAUUUAGUAUAUGUUACAUACUCUCCCCCUCCAGGAAGUAGAACUCCUUCUUCUUUGAAUGUAGGCUAGACUUAGUGAGUAGUUCCAAAUUAACAGACUAUGGAAAGGGGGAAAUGUAAUUUUAUAAUGGAGAAACCUGGCAAACACUACCUUAGCCAAAUGAUGAAGGUUAUGUGGUUAGAGGUCAGGUCGAUAUCACAUAUCCUCUGAUAAGGUGAAAUGAGAGGGCAUUUCUCUCCACCUUUCUUUCCAAAAAUGUAUAAUCCCAGUCUAGUUCUGAAAAAUAUCAGACAAACCAAGACUGGGGGACAUUAUACAGGAUACCUGGCCAGUACUCCUCAAGACUAUCAAGGUCAUGAAAAAGAAAUAGCAGGAAACUGUCAUAGACCAGAGGAGACAAGGAAGACAAGCCAUGACAUGACCAGUAAAUGAAAUGUGAUACCUUGGAUUGAAUCCUGACACAGAAAGAGAAUAUUAAUGGAAAAACUGGUAAAAUUCAAAUAAAUCUGGGGAUUUGUUAAUAAUGUAUCAAUAUUGGUGUUUUUUUGUUUUGUUUUGUUGUUUUUUUAGCUCUGACAAAUGUACUGUGGUAAUGUAAGAUAUUAAUGAUGAGUGAGGGGUAUACUGAAACUCUCUGUAUUAUCUUUCCAACUUUACUGCAAGUCUAAAAUUAUUCUAAAAUAAAAAAAACUUUAUUUAAUUAAAACAAGACACUAGGAGAAAGAAUCCCUUCUCACUUAGAAAAGGCCUUCCCAAGAUUCUCAAUAUUGGUUGGAGCUCUGAAGUCAUCAAAGAUGUACAUUAUGGCUGAAAAUAUAACCUUGGACAGCACACCAAUGUGAAAUAGGUAACCACUGCUAAUAUCAGUUGCCUUGGUUACAAGGGACUUGCCUCUUACAAGCAAAAAAGUCAAGUGGAUUCAAGCUUGACUUUGCUACAUGUGAACUACAAAAACGAGAACACCAGUCCUCCCCAGGGAAUAAUAGAAUAAUACAGCACAGACCUACAGGGCCUGGGAGGCUGGGGAGGAACAAGGGAUAUACAUGGGGCUACAUAAAACUACUUGCCACUUUCCACAUCUUCCUGUAUGAUUAUGUGUUUUCCUUGCUGUGGGCCUAUUUUUUCAAAACUAGAAUUUGAGUUUAAACAUAUUCGAAAUGAUUUAUCUUCUAUCUUGAACAUGUGCUACCAAUAUUGUUAUAAUAGGUUAUACUCAUUAAUUUAUCAUUUCUUUUAUGUAUAAAAUGUUUCUAUUCAUUAAAAUAACAAUAAAAAACCAUAAUAAAA